This 520-nucleotide ribosomal RNA is filed under the name uncultured Diversispora. RNAcentral describes it as "SSU rRNA". It matches the Rfam family "Eukaryotic small subunit ribosomal RNA", at positions 569 to 1084 of the family's 1831-position model. Lineage: Eukaryota; Fungi; Glomeromycota; Glomeromycetes; Diversisporales; Diversisporaceae. The record is from RNAcentral.
AGCAGCCGCGGUAAUUCCAGCUCCAAUAGCGUAUAUUAAAGUUGUUGCAGUUAAAAAGCUCGUAGUUGAACUUCGGGGUUCACCCAUUGGUCAGGCUUAAUUGUCUGUACUGGUGAGAUGAGUCUCUACCUUCUGAGGAACUUUCAUGCCAUUUAUUUGGUGUGAUUGGAAAUCAGGACUGUUACUUUGAAAAAAUUGAGUGUUUAAAGCAGGCUAACGUCUGAAUACAUUAGCAUGGAAUAAUGAAAUAGACGGAUUGAUUCUAUUUCGUUGGUUUCUAGGAUCACCGUAAUGAUUAAUAGGGAUAGUUGGGGGCAUUAGUAUUCAAUUGUCAGAGGUGAAAUUCUUGGAUUUAUGAAGACUAACUACUGCGAAAGCAUUUGCCAAGGNUUGUUUUCAUUAAUCAAGAACGAAAGUUAGGGGAUCGAAGACGAUCAGAUACCGUCGUAGUCUUAACCAAUAACUAUCGACGACGUAGGGAUCGGACGUCGUAGUUAAUUUUAUAAUGUACGUUGUCGGU